Molecule: long non-coding RNA, 954 nt
Filed under: Gossypium barbadense (sea-island cotton)
Lineage: Eukaryota; Viridiplantae; Streptophyta; Magnoliopsida; Malvales; Malvaceae
Description: long non-coding RNA (GBAR_LNC005036)
Source: RNAcentral
UAUAACUAUAUUUUCGAAUUGAGUUUAGCAUGGAAUGAUUUAUUUCGACCAUGAAUCGAUUAAAUUACGACGUCCGAAAGCCCCGUACGAGAUAUAGAAGGCCCAUUUUUCCUGGGCCUUUAGACUUAUAAACUAAAUGCAAAAAACCAAAAAAAAUAAUAAAAUCAUAAAAAUCAUAAAACAGUCCAUUAACCCAAAUAAAUCCCUUCAAGCCAAAUAACAAAAAUAUAGCCCAAAACAGAAAUAAAAAACUAGUCCAAAACCCAAUUUACAAAUGGCCUAAAGGGGCCCAAUAGUUCGGAAAUACCAGAAACCCUAGAGGUUUUUGGAAACCUGCUAGCACCAUAAACCAGCCACUCCCACAAGUGGUUUCCCACGCCCACGCUUACGAACGCUCCUUUUGAACGGCCAUCUCCAAUGGAACCUGCGAGAAGAGCAACUGAAAUAAUAACAAAAAAAUAGGCCAGUAAAUGACAACAAAAAAUACAAUUUUUAUUUUAUUUAAGCUGUAAACCGGCUAUAAAAAGCCAGAAAAACGAUGUAAAUAGGAUCUUUCUUUUUUACAAAAAAAUACGAUACGCAUACUGAAUACAGAAUACAAAAGCAACCAAAAAAAUAGAAGGUGAUUGCAGCUUUCAUUUUCUCAUGUUUUGAUUUAUUUUUAUUAUCGCUUUUGCACCAAAUCUUUUCGCAUGAGAAUAAAAAGAGAUAGGAGAGAGGUUUACCUUCGGGGAUGCACCAUCGGGGUCUUUGUCUCCUCCGUUGAAAUCGGAGUUUAAGAUGGGGACCUUUAAGUGAGAAUAAGCCUCGAGCCUUGACUUUAUGGAGAUAGGGAUCACCGAUUAUGAGGGUGAAAUGAUAGUUGAAUGGGGCUUUUGAAUUGCACCAAAACCCUAGCAAAUAGGGAUUUCAUUUGCCGCUUGCAAAAAUGGCAGAUUGCCAUUCAUUUUUUUU